AACGAGUUGACAUUCUCACCUUCUCGUUUCCCUAUUAACCCUCGAGACCCGUGCAAAAUUACACCCCACAAACUUCUCUCCCCUGCGAGAAGUGUAACCGCUUUCGUCUCUCAUUCACUUUCCCUUUCUCUUUCUUCUCCUUCUCCUCUCAUCGGAAGUUAGUUACGGUAAACCAUUUUCGGCAGAUUCUUUGAAUGUAACUGACACUCGAUUUUGUCCCUCAUACUUGAUUAAUCACAAGUUAUUUUGUAGUCAUCUAAUUAUUGGUUCGUAGUCAUCUAAUUUGAUUUAAUCGUUUCGUCCCCAAUUUCUAGGGUUUCUGUCCAUCUGCAUGCUCCUUUUCCACUGUUCGAUUUUCAAAGAAAUUCUUAAUUUUUUCUCCUGUUUUCUCUCCUCCGCCGCAGAUGAAGUCCUCCUCGAGUAAAUUGAAACAAAAGUCUCCGCUUGGCAGUUCCAGGCGCCCGGUUUCCUUUGAAGACGACGACGACCCUUUUGUCUCCGCCAAGUCAACCGCGACCCACUCAAAUUCUCCAUAUCAGCCGCGACCGGAGAUCCCGGUAGUAAACAGGGACAAACUUCCGAAAAGGCUCUACGCCACUGACUGCUAUCCGCCUCUCGGACGUAUUAAUGCUUAUUCAAAGCCGGAGUAUCUGCUCGAUCUCGUCGAAAUCCUAGAAGGGACAAAAGAGUUAAAUUAUCUCCGCGCCUCAUGCUUUGGCCCGCUGUUUCAGCUUCCUGUCCGCAAAUGUUCGUUUUCCGGCAAAUUAGUACAUCAGAUGUUGUGUAGAGGCGUCUACACAAGGAAAAAACACGAGCUAUGGUUUAUUUUUGCCGGUCAGCCAUUCCGUUUUUCGUUAAGAGAAUUUGCCAUUCUCACUGGUCUGGAUUGUCGGCCGUAUUCUUCACCGGCAGAUGUAUUGAAGUCGCAGAGAGAAUGUACCAAAAAACAUCCGUACUGGAAUAUUCUCAUAGGCGAGGACCACACGGGUGUCCUCAUCAAGGACAUUGUUGACUGGCUGAGGAAAGACAAGAUGAAGCCUAAGAAAGAGAAGAUGGAUGACUGGAGAAGGCUUCGUCUCGCUCUUAUCGUGAUCGUUGAAGGGGUAUUGCUUUGCAGUUCCCAACCUGUGAGAGCUUCUCUUCAAGUUGUCGAAAUGGUUCAGCAUUUGGAGUCGUUUGAAGCGUUUCCAUGGGGACGAGAAUCAUUCCUUCUGACAAUGCGAAUGGUUAAGGUCAGUCAGAAGGUUAACAGUCUCUCUGCCCUAAUUGCGAAGUUCAACCAGUCUCACUCUUCAACCCAUGGGUUCCCUCUUGUCUUCCAACUGCUGAUGUUAAAGGCCAUCCCAGUUUUUGAGAGAUACCUUAAUCAACCUGAUGAUACGCAGACUAUCAUUGAUGGGUCAAUCACUACUUUGCCUCCGUUGAAGACUUUUCACAAUUCCAACAUAAUGGAAACAGAGCUAAUUCCUGGGUUAAGGAUUGCCCCGCUGUUGUCUACUGAUGAUCCCCCACACCCAUCGAUCAACGAUUGGCCUGAUGAAGUCUCUGACCCGGCGAUUGACUAUAUGGAAAGCCUUAUUGGUGGCGGAUACAAGUUCUGCCAAGCUGACUGGAUUGGUAGGUGUCGUACUUGGCCAAAGAUAGUCGUUGAUGAGAACCCCAAAGAACCCAAUGUUCGCAAGACCAAGAAGGUACCUGUGAGACGUCCAAAUAUAAACUCUGACAUGCCUGAGUUUCCCCAGGGUGGUCCAUCUGGUUCAUCAAAAGGUAAAGGGAAGGUCUAUGAAGACUUUUGUCCCCCAGCAGGGACUGAAGGUAAAGAUGUUCUCCAUGCUCUGAUCAUGGAAGAAGUUAAUUCGAAGUUCCGUGACAUGAAAGAGGAAUUGAAGGUUGAAUUGAUGGGUGAAGUCUGUCGGAUGUAUGGAGUAGAGAAGUCUUUAUUGAAAGACGAACUCUUAGACGAGAUUAUUAGCAAUCUGCGCCAUGGUGGGAAGUUUCCAACAACCCCCCCUCCGAAAGCUGCUUCACCAGGUAAAAACAAACCAUCUGAGGGACAAACCUAUGGUCCCCCUAAUAAUGCAAAUGUAAACAAGGAGUCCGGGGGACACGCAGAUGUCCCAUUAACGAACGCUGUUACUGAGGGACAAACGCAUGGUCCCCCAGAAAAUAUAAAUAUCAACAAGGUCCCUAGUGGGCAGACCUCUGAUUCCCCCCAUGUCCAGAUAGACCCUCCCGCCCCAAGUUCUCCUCAAUCGCCGUCUAAGGGGAAAAGUAAUUCUCAACUUUUGGAGGAGUUUCAGCGGCAAACCUGGUCUGAGUACGGAGGAGUGUCUGAUGUUUUACAAAACCUCAACCAGUCUUAUGCAUCUCCCUCUGGUCCUGCUAAGUCUGGUCCGUUUGGACCUUCUCCUGGUCUUGUUGCUUCUGGUCCUUCUACCAUUCAUCCAUCUCCUUCUGGUCCUUCUUCCUCGAAGUUCUCUAUUGAUCACAACCCAAAAGACUUCCAAACUCCAUUGCCAACCAUUAGUGAGGACAACGCAGAGGAAACCGAGGACGAAGAAGUUGCAGAUGAGGUCCUGGUUGGAAAGUCUGUUAAAGAGAAUUUUCCUGAAGAUCACAACCCCAACGACUUCCAAACGCCUCAUCAAGAUGUAGAGGAGAUCAGUUCGGCUGAUGAAUCAGAGGACGAUCAAGAUACAGAGCAGGUUGCUGGUGGAAAUUCUUUUGGUGUGUCUGAGGACGUGGGAUUUGUUGGUGAGGAGAGAAGGGAAGCUAUAGAGAAUAAGUCUGUUGGUGUGUCUGAGCACGUUGAUGUUGUUGAGUGCGAGGACAGAAGGGAGGAAGUAAUUGAAAAGUCUGUUGAUGUCUCCGGGGACGAUGUUGAGACUGAGGUUUUAGAGGAUAAGUCUGUUUCUGGGGACCACGAACCCAAAGAGGGUGACGAGAGUAGUGGUGAUAGUGAAGGAAGGUCUGAAGACGAGGAUCACCAAGAUGAAGCUAUGGACGAGGCAAACAAAGCAUGGCCGCCAGAGCUUUUUAAAUCCUCAAGAGGUGCUGAUGAACAACUGGUUGACGAUCAAGAGGGAAAUGCUACUGGUGGUGUGGCAAUUUCAGAAAAAAGUCCCUCUGGGAAAAAGAGAAAAUCUUCUUCUCUUGGCGGGGAUUCUUCUAAGCCGAUCCUCCCUCCCAAAAGGGCAAGGAAUAAACCCCACCGUUUCCGUGACCCUAUUCCAGUCCAGGGACAAGAAUCCACAGGGACCAACAGUGUUUCCCAAUCAACUGAUGAGGUUUUGCACCCGUUUGUCCUAGUAAAUGAUGAUCUUCGGAAACAUUUCUUGUCCACUCUCAAAUCUUAUCGCCAGAGGGAGUUCGUCCUCGAUGCACAUGUUGUCCCCAGAUCAUUUUUUAAGGAUAUGCUUACUCCUCACCAUUCUGUCCACCAAGAGCACAUCGAUGCCAUGCUAAGCCUGUUGGCUCGGAGGUUUGGGGAUACUUUGGUCCAGAGUAGGUCUGCCAUACUUGAUUCAUGGUUUUCGAUUACCCUUAGCGAACUCUAUUCUCGUUUCAAGAAGUCCAAAAGUAAAUCUGAGUGGCCGUGGAACAGUAAGAUACGGGACUACGUCAGGGGUAUAGUCCCUGGCCGAUUCACGAGACAGGCUUGGUUUUCUGAUGUCGACACUCUGUACGCGCCUUUACAUCUGUCUGGGGGCCACUGGGCUGCGCUUGUCAUAGAUCUGAAAGAGGGUACCAUAGGUGUUCUUGACCCUAACGUGGCUGCCAAAACCGACAAACAGAUGGGCGUGCUCAUGAAACCUCUCGUUGUGUUGCUUCCUUUUAUCAUCAAAUCACUUGUCCCCCAAGAUGUUCUCUGCAAUCAUCAAGUUCCCCCUGAGUUCGCCUUUGAUCGUCUUCCUGAGAUCUUUCAAAGCGAACAUGAAGACGACAGCGGCCCGCUUGCUAUGAAGUACAUUGAGCUUCAUUUCCAAAACAUUAGUCACGACAGCAUAACUGAAGAACUUGUGGAGAAUAUCCGGAUGAGAUUUGCUGUCGACAUCUUCGAGGAGUUUGUUCAGCCUCUCCGGCUGUGAUCCCCCUUUCAAUAUUUCUGCUUAAGAACUUAUGUCUUUUUGUAAUAAUUAUUUACUCUUCUUGGAUGCUACUUGGAUGCUUAGGAACUAAAUAUUUUUAAACUGCUAUCUAUUUAGGAACUACUUGGAUAUUUAGGUUGUCCUCCGCAAACAGAGAUCCUGUCUCCUAAAAUAUUCUAUAUUAUGUUGUCCUGUCGCAAUUUUGGAUAGGCAUUUUUUACAAACAAGUCAACGUUUAGAUACCCAAUAACAACAGUAGAAGCCAGUUGCUCUCCACUAUUCUCUCCCCUAACCCGUUACGCUUCCCCAUGAUUUUCCUUCUGUGUCAUCACAUCAGCGAAAAGGUAACUUUUUGCUUAAUAAAUUUAUAUUAUAUUCUUUUCAAGAUUUUUGGGCACCAGUCUCUAUUUAUCUCUCCACAUUAAUGAUCUCUUCAUCUACACAAUUAUCCCCUUUCUCUCAAACUCCCCCCAGCCUACUCCAUAAUUUCUACCAUCUAAUUGUUUCCCACGAACCAUGGGCCUCCAUAGUUAUACCCAGUCGAACGAUUCAUCCCGAGAAUCUCUUAGUUCUUAUGGACCUGUUUAUCCCGGGCCAAUGUCUUUUGAAAAUAUUGGUAUACCUCGUCACUGUUACUGCGGAGGGACGGUCGUACUUGCGAAUUCACUCUCCGAGGACAACCCUGGCAGGCAGUUUUAUCAGUGCGAGAAGAGAGAUGACCGACCUGGGCGCCAUCUUGUUAAAUGGUUGGACGAGGGAUUUAUGGAGGAGAUUUCUGCGCUUAAGUGCUCUAUUAGGGAACAGGAAGAACACCUUAAGUUCCUACUUACCGCCCCUAACGGGGAGCACAUGGAUCUUGCCUUGAUGUGCGAUCGUCUGGACCUUUACCAGGAAGACAUUAAAUUGCUUCAGCAGAAUUUAUGUCUUUUGCAACGCUCCCCUCGUUCCAUUGUCGACGUCGCUCGUUCGUGUCCUAAAAUCAUCGUUCUCGUCCUUGCGAUUAUUGUCCCCGUAGCCGCGUUCGUGCUUGGCACUUAUAUGUAGCUUUAAUAGCUCUUUUUUCAUCCCUCGGCUAUUAUGUCCCCCAUUUUUUUCAUCAUGUUGUCUACUGGGGACUAUCGUGUAAUGUUCGUCCCUCUUUUAUUGUAGCCCGAAUUCUACAAGUUAUCUAUAUUUAAGA
Molecule: RNA transcript, 5268 nt
Organism: Arabidopsis lyrata subsp. lyrata
Lineage: Eukaryota; Viridiplantae; Streptophyta; Magnoliopsida; Brassicales; Brassicaceae
Exons: 11
Source: RefSeq, a predicted model, not a curated record